AGUGAACGCUGGCGGUAGGCCUAACACAUGCAAGUCGAACGGCAGCACAGUAAGAGCUUGCUCUUACGGGUGGCGAGUGGCGGACGGGUGAGGAAUACAUCGGAAUCUACUUUUUCGUGGGGGAUAACGUAGGGAAACUUACGCUAAUACCGCAUACGACCUACGGGUGAAAGCAGGGGAUCUUCGGACCUUGCGCGAAUGAAUGAGCCGAUGUCGGAUUAGCUAGUUGGCGGGGUAAAGGCCCACCAAGGCGACGAUCCGUAGCUGGUCUGAGAGGAUGAUCAGCCACACUGGAACUGAGACACGGUCCAGACUCCUACGGGAGGCAGCAGUGGGGAAUAUUGGACAAUGGGCGCAAGCCUGAUCCAGCCAUACCGCGUGGGUGAAGAAGGCCUCCGGGUUGUAAAGCCCUUUUGUUGGGAAAGAAAAGCAGCAGGUUAAUACCCCGCUGUUCUGACGGUACCCAAAGAAUAAGCACCGGCUAACUUCGUG
This 492-nucleotide ribosomal RNA is filed under the name uncultured bacterium. RNAcentral describes it as "partial 16S ribosomal RNA". It matches the Rfam family "Bacterial small subunit ribosomal RNA", at positions 29 to 507 of the family's 1533-position model. The record is from RNAcentral.